CUGACACACCGGUGACCGCCCGUCUCCUUCCCUGGGCGAGAAUGGAGUCUCCUCUGGUCGACAGGUCGGAGUCGGAGUCGGCGCCGCGGUCGCGCAGACCCAGCGCGGCGGAGAACAACCCUUCGCCCACCUCCUCCUCCGCUGCCUCUAGUGCCGGAGAUGCAGACGGCCGCGCCGCCGCCGACGACCACGAAGCGGUGGCUGACCGGCGUCUCGUCAGUAGCAGCAGGUUCGGCCACCUUGCCCUCCGCUGGUUCAGGGUCAUGAAGAGCCCGCGGCCAGCAACGAUUCCGCCGCCGGCAUUGACCGCGGCGCGCACACCGCGCGGACGCUGAACCCGCUCAACGCCGAUACCUUCGCCGCGGCCGCUGCCCAAUUCGCGGGCGAAGUGGCAGGCUCCCACUACGGUGCCGGUUCUCCCUCUGCAUCGACAUGAGGUUAAACGUCAGGUUAAGAUAGCUGAUCAGAGGACAUUUAUCUUUGGUUUAACGUUGAGCACCGCUAUUGCACUGUUCACCACCAUGAAGGUGGAGAGUGUCAUGUCCGCCGAAGUCGCAGCUUGGGUAGGUGGAGGCAGCGCAAUUGCUUGGUUGUGUGUUAAUGGGGGAUCAAUGUCAAUUUGUAUGGCCAAAGCAUCUUUGAGCAGCGAGCAGCUCAAAACUUGAGUCGUCUUGGAAUGAUGGGUUUAGCGCUCCUCUAUCCAUGUACGCAUGGUUCUUCCCUCACCUCCUGGGGCUAUUCUGGACACUUGUGGCACUGGCUGCUGCACUUCAUGGUGUUAUGUGGCUUCUGAGCUGCUUCCGGCAUGAUGAUGAUAGCACCGUCAGAUUGAGCGAGGAGGACCUGUGCAUGUGCCCGCGGUGCAAACCUUCAUGCACCUGCUGCAGCAACCGUGGAUCCGGGGCUCAUGCUGUUGAGUCCGUGUGAGUGCCAAGACAGUCUGACAAUAUAUAUAGCUACAGGUGCUCGUUCAAAAAUAUGGACCGACUCGAUUGCUUCUGUCCAUCCCAAUUACACUGACAUGAUUCCAAAUUCAACCGACAUGAUGGUUCUGCGGUGGUGUUCUGAACAUCAUGGGUGAGGAAUGACUUUCUGUUUCGUAAGAAUCGGCAAGAACCUAAGCAAGAAGUGUGCAAGGAC
This is a long non-coding RNA of Triticum dicoccoides, 1140 nucleotides long. RefSeq lists it as uncharacterized. The record is from RefSeq and is a predicted model, not a curated record. NCBI's taxonomy places the organism in Eukaryota, Viridiplantae, Streptophyta, Magnoliopsida, Poales, Poaceae. The transcript has 4 exons.